Molecule: long non-coding RNA, 798 nt
Organism: Papaver somniferum (opium poppy)
Lineage: Eukaryota; Viridiplantae; Streptophyta; Magnoliopsida; Ranunculales; Papaveraceae
Exons: 4
Source: RefSeq, a predicted model, not a curated record
UGUCAUCCUAAGUGUUAAGAAAAACGGAAAAAAUGGGGUAGUCGAAUCAUUUAUCUUUCUCAUUUUCUCUCUCCGUUCUCCACAAAAGAGUCCCACUGCUCCUAUCUGCAUUUCGGCAUAUCUUUUCGCUUUCCAGUACCCAUCAAUAUAUUCUAAUUACUAUCGCAGAUAAGGAAAGAUGAACACAUAUAUCGCACUAUCAACGAAAACACCUAGUGAUCAAUUCACCAGGUGUGAGGACGGAGGAUUUAUGAUAUUAUUUAGGUGUUACAAAGUAUUGGGGUUUAACUAGAAAAUAUAAGAAUCAGAAUGGUUGGAUCGAGUUUGCUGGAAUUCCUAAAAGUUGUGGAGCUGUGGAAUUUAUUUGUAUGUCAUGUUGAGAUGUCCAUAGUGUUUGUGGAACACACAAAUGAAAACCUUUGAGGGACAUUUCCUCGGAUUAGAUACAGGAAAAGGUUUGCAUCACAAAAUUUAUAGGUACAGUUUGCUCAGUGGUGAUGACUCUAUAAGCUGAGGUGGUAACACAUGAAGUGUACUAUGCUGCAAAUGGCUCAAAUGAUGUCUCGCACAUUAAUAGUCGAGGUCACUGGAAAUGAUGGAUCUAUCUCUACCUUAAACUCCUCUGCCUUUCCAUAUUGAGGAACCUUCUGAGGUAAGGUUUAAUUUGGUUGCUCCAGAAAUCCAAGACAACAAAAGUAACACGCUGACAUGUAUUACACAUUUAAUUGUAUAUGAAUGAAUGAAAGAUGCUCAAUUAACUUAUGGAUAUAUAUGUAAGUGGGUAAAUUUUAUUGUUCA